Trichonephila inaurata madagascariensis is the source of this 75-nucleotide non-coding RNA. Lineage: Eukaryota; Metazoa; Arthropoda; Arachnida; Araneae; Nephilidae. The record is from the annotation of a GenBank genome assembly.
GGAGGUAUAGCUCAGUGGUAGAGCAUUCGACCGCAGAUCGAGCAGACCCCGGUUCAAACCCGGGAGUUUUCUUCU